This 253-nucleotide ribosomal RNA is filed under the name uncultured bacterium. RNAcentral describes it as "partial 16S ribosomal RNA". It matches the Rfam family "Bacterial small subunit ribosomal RNA", at positions 524 to 776 of the family's 1533-position model. The record is from RNAcentral.
UACGGGGGGGGCAAGCGUUGUUCGGAAUUACUGGGCGUAAAGGGCUCGUAGGCGGCCAACUAAGUCGGACGUGAAAUCCCCAGGCUCAACCUGGGAACUGCGUCUGAUACUGGAUGGCUUGAGUUCGGGAGAGGGAAGCGGAAUUCCGGGUGUAGCGGUGAAAUGCGUAGAUAUCCGGAGGAACACCAGUGGCGAAGGCGGCUCACUGGCCCGAUACUGACGCUGAGGUGCGAAAGCGUGGGGAGCAAACAGG